UUAAUGUGUGUGUGUGUGUGUGUGUGUGUGUGUGUGUGUGAGUUAUAUACAGUUUUGCACAACUGAUCUUAAAGGCAGGGUAGGUAAGUUUGAGAAACUAGCCAGAAACUGCUGGAUUUUGAAAGUAUCCAACAGAGAAACUCCCACCCCCUCCCUUCUGGGCUCCUUCCAAAGCCACGCCCCCAAAACACGUGAAUGCGCGUUGCCGACACCGCAGGAGGAUGAGGACAGUGUGACAAGUGGAGAGCAGCGGCUCACGUCAGGGAGCUUCCGUGGUGACAGCAUUAUUGUCUCUAAUAAGGACUACACCCCAGAGCCGAGCACAAACCGGGACAGGUCCGGGGUUGAGGCGAAGCAGAGGAGGGAGGGCUGCCGGGGUCUGAGGAAGAAAAGGCAGGACGGGGAGGACCAGGUGCAAGCCAAGGAGCACAUCUUCUAGGACCUGCGUCGAGCUUCACGCUCCAAAAACAGUAUAUGAACAGGCAGGAAUCUAAGGACUGUGGACAACAUCUA
This is a long non-coding RNA of Micropterus salmoides (largemouth bass), 513 nucleotides long. RefSeq lists it as uncharacterized. The transcript is spliced from 3 exons. The record is from RefSeq and is a predicted model, not a curated record. NCBI's taxonomy places the organism in Eukaryota, Metazoa, Chordata, Actinopteri, Centrarchiformes, Centrarchidae.